AUGGCUUCUUCGUUCUUCGUCGCUUGUGUGGCUCUAGCCAGCAGCUGCCUUUUCCUCCUCCAUUCGCGCAGCGUCUCAGGUUGGCUCGAAAGCGGCGCGACGUGGUAUGAUCUCCACCAAGGCGCCGGCACUGGCGGUGGUGCGUGCGGGUACCAGGGCGACAUGGAGAAGCCGCCGUUCUCCUCCAUGAUCACGGCGGCCGGCCCCUCCAUCUUCAAGGACGGCAAGGGCUGCGGUGCUUGCUAUCAGGUUAAAUGCACCGGCAAUGCCGCUUGCUUCGGCCGCCCGGUGACCGUGGUCGUCACAGACGAGCGCCCCGGCGGCGAGGCGUGUCUGGCCGAGGCUGCCCAUUUCAACCUCAGCGGCAAGGCGUUCGAUGCCAUGGCCAAGCCCGGCCAAGCCGACAACCUCCGCGACGCCGGCAACAUUAGGGUCCAGUACGACCGGGUUCCGUGCAAGUGGCGCGGGCUGGACAUCGCCUUCAGAGUGAAGGCUGGCUCCAACCCGAACUACCUCGCGGUGCUCAUCGACAACGAGUCCGGCGACGGCGACCUGUCGGCGGUGGAGCUUCAGCAGCGCGGCGGCAGCUGGGCGCUGAUGCAAGAGUUGUUGGGCGCGGUGUGGAAGUACAACUCCAUGUCCGCCCUGCGGGCGCCCAUAUCGAUCCGCCUCACCUCCAGCUCCGGCAAGAAACUCGUCGCCAGCAACGUCAUCCCCUCCGGCUGGCAGGCCGACAAGACCUACCGGUCCAUCGUAAACUACUGA
This 765-nucleotide ribosomal RNA is filed under the name Triticum aestivum (bread wheat). RNAcentral's name for it is "partial small subunit ribosomal RNA". Lineage: Eukaryota; Viridiplantae; Streptophyta; Magnoliopsida; Poales; Poaceae. The record is from RNAcentral.